This 148-nucleotide non-coding RNA is filed under the name Nomascus leucogenys (northern white-cheeked gibbon). Lineage: Eukaryota; Metazoa; Chordata; Mammalia; Primates; Hylobatidae. The record is from Rfam by way of RNAcentral.
GCUGGGCAUGAUGGCGCAUGCCUGUAGUCCCAGCUACUUGGGAGGCUGAGGCAGGAGAAUCACUUGAACCCAGGAGGCAGAGGUUGCAGUGAGCCGAGAUGGCGCCACUGCACUCCAGCCUGGGCAACACAGCGAGACUCUGUCUCAU